GGGCGAAUAGCUCAGGGGGAGAGCACCUGCCUUACAAGCAGGGGGCCGUAGGUUCAAAUCCUACUUCGCCCACCA
Molecule: transfer RNA, 75 nt
Filed under: Bacillota bacterium
Lineage: Bacteria; Bacillati; Bacillota
Description: tRNA-Val
Rfam family: tRNA
About the family: Transfer RNA (tRNA) molecules are approximately 80 nucleotides in length.
Source: RNAcentral